RNAcentral lists this ribosomal RNA (435 nucleotides) under Lactobacillus delbrueckii. RNAcentral's name for it is "bacterial SSU rRNA". It matches the Rfam family "Bacterial small subunit ribosomal RNA", at positions 62 to 476 of the family's 1533-position model. Lineage: Bacteria; Bacillati; Bacillota; Bacilli; Lactobacillales; Lactobacillaceae. The record is from RNAcentral.
UCGAGCGAGCUGAAUUCAAAGAUCCCUUCGGGGUGAUUUGUUGGACGCUAGCGGCGGAUGGGUGAGUAACACGUGGGCAAUCUGCCCUAAAGACUGGGAUACCACUUGGAAACAGGUGCUAAUACCGGAUAACAACAUGAAUCGCAUGAUUCAAGUUUGAAAGGCGGCGCAAGCUGUCACUUUAAGAUGAGCCCGCGGCGCAUUAGCUAGUUGGUGGGGUAAAGGCCUACCAAGGCAAUGAUGCGUAGCCGAGUUGAGAGACUGAUCGGCCACAUUGGGACUGAGACACGGCCCAAACUCCUACGGGAGGCAGCAGUAGGGAAUCUUCCACAAUGGACGCAAGUCUGAUGGAGCAACGCCGCGUGAGUGAAGAAGGUCUUCGGAUCGUAAAGCUCUGUUGUUGGUGAAGAAGGAUAGAGGCAGUAACUGGUCUUU